AUACGGAGGAUCCGAGCGUUAUCCGGAUUUAUUGGGUUUAAAGGGUGCGCAGGCGGGAGAUUAAGUCGGCGGUGAAAUUUUGCAGCUCAACUGUAAAAGUGCCUUCGAAACUGGUUUCCUUGAGUGUAGGUGAAGUAGGCGGAAUUUGUGGUGUAGCGGUGAAAUGCAUAGAUAUCACGAGGAACUCCGAUUGCGCAGGCAGCUUACUAAACUACUACUGACGCUCAGGCACGAAGGCGUGGGGAUCAAACAGGAUUAGAUACCCUGGUAGUCCACGCAGUAAACGAUGAUUACUAGCUGUUUGCGAUACAAUGUAAGCGGCUGAGCGAAAGCGUUAAGUAAUCCACCUGGGGAGUACGUUCGCAAGAAUGAAACUCAAAGGAAUUGACGGGG
This 393-nucleotide ribosomal RNA is filed under the name uncultured bacterium. Its description in RNAcentral is "partial 16S ribosomal RNA". It matches the Rfam family "Bacterial small subunit ribosomal RNA", at positions 523 to 918 of the family's 1533-position model. The record is from RNAcentral.